Molecule: unclassified non-coding RNA, 225 nt
Filed under: fungal sp.
Lineage: Eukaryota; Fungi
Description: partial internal transcribed spacer region
Rfam family: Eukaryotic small subunit ribosomal RNA (bases 1-46)
Source: RNAcentral
AAGUCGUAACAAGGUUUCCGUAGGUGAACCUGCGGAAGGAUCAUUACCUAGAGUUGUAGGCUUUGCCUGCUAUCUCUUACCCAUGUCUUUUGAGUACCUUUGUUUCCUCGGCGGGCUCGCCCGUCGAUGGACCUAUUUCAAAACUCUUAAUUGUUCAACUCGUGUUGUCUGAGCGAUACAAGCAAAAUUUUAUUAAAACUUUCAACAACGGAUCUCUUGGUUCUG